Molecule: transfer RNA, 85 nt
Filed under: Phycisphaerales bacterium
Lineage: Bacteria; Pseudomonadati; Planctomycetota; Phycisphaerae; Phycisphaerales
Description: tRNA-Leu
Rfam family: tRNA
About the family: Transfer RNA (tRNA) molecules are approximately 80 nucleotides in length. Their secondary structure includes four short double-helical elements and three loops (D, anti-codon, and T loops).
Source: RNAcentral
GCCCGGGUGGCGGAAUUUGGCAGACGCGCUAGCUUGAGGGGCUAGUGGCCGUAAGGUCGUGCUGGUUCGAAUCCAGUCCCGGGCA